Molecule: long non-coding RNA, 18019 nt
Organism: Rattus norvegicus (Norway rat)
Lineage: Eukaryota; Metazoa; Chordata; Mammalia; Rodentia; Muridae
Source: RefSeq, a predicted model, not a curated record
AAUAAACAAACUCUUCAACUCUGCCCCACCUACUCCAUGGUCCUCCCCUGAGUAAGUCCUCCCAUGACCCCUGUCCUCCCCCGGCUGUACUUCCUUCUCCUCGGCACCCCUGAGACACAUUUGAACAGGUUGCCUCUCACCGUAGGCUUUCCCUCACAGUCAGGGAGGGCAUCUACCUUUGCUGAGCUCACACAGGACCCUCUCCAGGCCUUGUUAGGAGCCAGGGCCCCAGGGACUGAGUGCCUAUCAAAUCUAAGUCUGCUGUAGUAAGGGCAGGAGAUGGGGAAUAUUGAAUUUCGUUGGAGACUGCCCAGGCCCUUCCUGGAUAUGCUCCAGGCACGCAUGCGUCUGGACAAUGCCAGCUGGCAAGGAUCUUUGUGGCCUAGAGAUGUCCUUUAUCAUCCCCAGUGACCUCUGACCUGUCUCCCUUACUCCUGCCUCUCUUCCACGAUUUCCUGUUGUUCUCUCUGGUCUUCCCUCAUGCUUAGGGAGGAGGGACAUCUGGCUGGCUGAUCUUAUAGGAAUGAUAUUCAUGUCUAUGUCAUAGUUUCAGUGUCUCUUCUCUGUUUUGCUCUCUUUGGGACGGCCUGAGACAGUCCCGUGCACUGGCAGCCUCUCCCUGCAUGAGAGUGGCGAGUGCUUGCUGUGUGAACUUUGGUAGGAGUACUGGCCAGCCUUCAAGUCAGCAUCAGCGAGUCAGGGGAAUAUGGGGAGAAAGAGUGUCUGGGAGCUGCUUCAGGGCAAGAUGGGAAGGCCUCCAUAGAACCGCUCAGGUUCUGUCUUCGUCUUGGUUCUUUUCAAAUGAUGUCAUUUCAAAUGAUGUCAGUUCCAUGAUGUCAUGACAGAGGAGGAUGCUGCCUGCUCUGUGCCUAAUCCCUUUCUCGGGGUCUUCCCUGGGAGUAGGGUUGAGCUGAGGCCGCAGUGGAGGCAGGGACAGGGGAGUGUGGCUCUCUAGCCUCUUGAGCAUCUUCGUCUGUAGAAUCUGAGGAUUCCAGAGCGGGUAUGGGGAGCAGAGCGUGGCUUUGGGAAGGGUGCAGGGCGUAGAAAGGGUAGAGAGAUGAGGUCCCUUCUGUGUGACAGGCAAGCUUCAUACACCCUUGGCAGAGGCGCCAGUCAGGGUGAGGAGCCUUCCGGGAGGGGCCUGAGGACUGGAGGAAGAGGAAGAGCUGUGGGGGUGGGGUAGAGGAAGGGUGCUCCAAGUACCAGCUGGGCGGUGCAGAUCCGUGUGGGAUGGUGACUGAGGUGACAGGAGCUGGCAUCACUGGAGUGUCGACAGGUGCUGUGGAGCUCAAAGGAAUCCUGACUCCCCAGGAGCCCAGAGGCUGCAAACCAAGCAUUUCACCACUGGGCUAAAGUCCUUUGGUGGCUCCGUGUGCGCCCCUCCACUUCCCAGCUCUUCAGUUUCUUUCCCCUGACAUUCUACCCCCUGUAGCCACACCUGGAUAGUGGCGAGCGGCCACGCCACGUUCGACAUGGGACAUCUCAGACGUGAAACAUUGACAUCACGCAGCUUGACUAGACAGUGUUCAGAGCCUCUGAGAUGAGUCAGGAUGGUGUGGAUCGCUGGAGGCUAGCUACAUCCUCAUACAGGGCAGGCUGUGAGGAUCUCGAGACUGGAGGAUGGGUGGGUGCUACGGGUACCAUUGGCCCAGAGUUGGGACAUCUGACUUCUUGUCUGGUUCUCUGCUGCUUAGCAGCUGUGUGAUUUGGUCAAACGCCUGGUCUCUCUAGAUUCAUAACAUUAGGCUAUGCUGAACCCUUUUUUUUUUUUUGAAAAAUUUAAUAGUUUGGUUCAAUAAGGGCUCCUUAGCCAGUUGUCACUGCCCCCUGCUCUGCCAGGCUCACAGGCUGCAGUGUGAACCAGGGCCCAUAGCCAGGGAACCCUGGGAAGGGCCGGCAUGCCCGCCUGUGUAAUGAGGGCAGACCUUAAGGGCUGGGGAGGCCGCAAGGCUAAUUGCGCUUUCCCUGUCCUCAACCCACUUAGCCCAAUUUGUAGUUAUUUAUUGUUGGCUGUUGACGUGUUUGUGUCUGCCUUUCGGCUGAGCCAAGAUCUGCAAACACAGGGGUGGGUGAGGGCUCAAUUCCUUUGAUGCCACACUUCUUCAUAUAGAAUCUGGCACACAGUAGGUCUUGGCACUAGUCACUUCUAAGCAAAAGGUCGUCUUGUACACAGAGCAUUCGUUCUGCUUUCUGGAACAGAGACCUAAUCACCAAGAGCUGUGGGAUAUCUCGGAGUCCCAGACCCUGAGUGGUCUGUGCAGGAGUCUGUGUGUGGACAUAGUGAGAGGGUAGCCUGUGAACCCUGCUUUGCAGUAUCUGGUUGUUUGCUUGCCUGGGCUGAUUUGGAUAAAUCCCAUGUAGACAUAGGGUCCUUGUCCUGGAGUCUCAUGAAGGUCACAAACAACCAACUCUCAGAGGCCCGUAUUAUACUGAGUCCUAAAUAUCCUAUCCCUUGUGUUUCCCAUCUGGUAUCUGGGGAACCCUGUUAUCUCCUUGUCAUAGCUGAAAUCUUGGUGGUUGGCUGAAUAUGGCAGCUCACGCCUUUAAUCCCAGCACCGGGGAGGAACUCUGUGAGUCUGAGGCCAGCCAGAGCUAUGUAGCAAGUUACAGACCAACUAAGGUAACAUAGUAGCACCCUGUCUCAAUAAAUAGAGGCAAAUUAAAAGAAACAAAAAGCUUUGUGGUAGAGAAGGGGAGGGUGUCUCUGCAAGCUUCCUCCGAUGACUAGAAGUCUGGGUGGGUCUAGAAUGCAGAGAAGCAUGUACUUGGGACCGAGCAGGGAUAGCUCAGACGUGCUAGGCUCAUCCUUUGUGCAUACAGGACCCAGCAUGGAAUAUUUAGCUUUCCCUGGUCCAAGCUUCAACUGUCCAGUCCUCCCUUGGGAAAACCAGCCCUUGGCCAGUUCUUCAGGUGCUGGGUUCAUGCCAGAGGCCUCUUGGCAUAAUUGUCAGGCUUGCCUCUGGGUGGAGAGGAGCAGGAAGAAGGAUUGCACAAGGGGAAACUGGCAGAGGGCCCCUGCUUCCGCUGGCUGCUGAUGCCUUCAGGGGAGGGAUGAGGGGCUGCAGGGCAGCAUAGCAUUCCCCAAUAGCAUCCUUCCAUCUGCUUGCCCAGUCAGGAGGAAAUGACAGUCUGAGAAACAGUGUCUCCGGUGUCCAUCCCUGUGCCCACUUUGCGUGCCACCCACUAUGUCCAGCGCACGUCCAGCCCCGAGGAUGACUCCUGCAGGACACACACACACACACACACACACACACACACACACACACACACACACUCAGAACUUGCACCUUAGUGCUGGUUCCAUCUGUUCCUUCCUGCAGGAAGUCUUCUCUGAGACUCCGCUCCCGAUGCAGCCUUCGCUACAGCAGGGGUAUUUCUUCCGUCCAUGGUUCUGUAGCUUUGGGUACAGUGAGUGAGCAGUUGUGGGUUGGUAUUGGUUUCUAUGACUCCUUCGGGCAAUGGUCUCUUUCUUCCCUCUCUGAGGACCCCACUUCCCUUCUCCAAGCGCUUCUGGAAUCUGGACCAUCAGAGAAAGCACCAAUCCUGCUCUCCCCUGCUCUUUGGUCAGGAAAUGGUUUUGUGAUUCUGUCCUCGGUGCAAGCCCUGGGCCAAGCAGUAGGACAAGACCAGGCAGAGUUUGUGGCUGGAGAUGCACCCUCUAACCCCAGGAGUGAGCAUACUGCAUGGUCCCCAAGACCAAGACUUUCUGAGUUCCAGGAUCGCUUUCUAUCUAGCCUCAGCUUCCAGCCACCCCUGUCUGGCUGGUUCCAGCCUUCUCACCUUCCCCACCCCCUCCACAGCACAGGGGAGUUGUUUAGGAGUUGUCCCUCUCCCCCGGGCUGCUUUUAGAGUGCAACAAAGAGUCAUUGGGAGGUGGACAGCUGACAAAGGAGACUGGGGGAGUGGUGGGCAUGUUGGAGAUGCUUAUUUGUAAGCCCAAAUCUCUCCCCCAAGCUCUGGAGUCUGCCCUUUAUCUGGCCUGAUAAUAGACCGAAACCAUGCCAGGUGGCAGCAGCCUACGGUGACACUAGGCUCUGCUCCAACUGACAAGCUGGACAGAUCUGGUAAAGAGCAGCUAGGCGGGGAGCCACCAGGCUCUAGGUAGCUCACACGGAGGACAGUAGUCCUCAGUGCCCAUAUAGGAGAUGUGCAGAGGUCUGGAACCUGAAGCCUCAACUCCAGUUCUUGGGUCUCUGUGUUCCUAGCAUUGACAUGGUCCCAGCAUCUUCAUGGUCCGCCCUCGAGUGUUUAUGACACCUGCUUUGCCACUAGUGUCCUGCUGCUGCUAGGCAUCUGGAUGGCCUCCUCUUCAUCCCCUAGUGUCUCCCCAUUGACAUCUGUUGGGGAUGCAGAGAAAUGUGGGAAUUUCCACAGUAGCUGGUAUGUAAAUGCCAGCCUGCUCAUGGCCUCUUCACUGUGUCCCAGGAAGAAAGUAGGAGUCCUUUCUUGUGUCUCACAAUUCUUAGGUCAGUGUUCAAGCAUGCUACCAUGUCCAGACAGGCCCAGUGCUACUGCACCCCAUUUUGUAGCACCCAGCUUCUGCCCCUACUCCAGCCCCCAUCAUGUUUAGGGGCUCAAUUCCUCUGUUCACUUCUGAGUUUCUGGAGGGAGUUGGGAGGCAGGGAUAAAAUAUGAGCUUGGCAUAGACCGAGGAGAGGUGCUGAAGGGUCCUGGGAUGAUGCAGGCAAGAGGGCGUGACCGAUGGGUGCAGCUGGGUUUCAGAUAUGUCCUGCAAGACUGGGCAGCAGGAAUCUGAUGACCUCAGUUCUUCUCUGAGGUGCCUUCGGCUGUGUUGAGAGAGGACAAACAGCACCCGGUACGGCUGGAAUCUAAUGACUGUUUGCAGUGAACUAUUCCUCCACAUGGGGUCUGUGUGGUCAGGCUAUCUCUCUGCAGUCUGUGUAUCCUCAUGUAAUAGGAGCCCAGGCUGGGCUUCCUACCCACCUAUUGGCCCCAGGGCCCUGCAAACUGAUGGUAGCAGAUGAGGAGAGGAAGGCAGUGACACACAGGAACACGGGAGCAACACGCCUCACCCUGUCUGUCUCAGAUCUCUGCGGUGUGCACAAUCUCACAGGGGACAGCCCUAGAGACACCCACACUCCCUCAUAGUCCUCAAGGCCCAGGCCUGCAUGUGCCUUUCAAGUCCUUGAGGGACCUUACCUCCACUGCCUGUAGACAGCCCCUUCCAGGCUUAGGGAACUGAAGGUGGCCUGCGUGCAAGCCUCACAGGUUUUCCACAUCCCUGUGACCAUCCACAGGGUGGAUACUGUUUUCCUUUAGCUACUGGAGAUGUCAUGGUGCUGCACCUCAAACCACUUACCCAAGGUUAGCCAACUUGGUUGACAGAGUAAUAGUAACCCCACUCCUCACCCCACCCAGUGAUGUCUGUGUCCUAGUCAGAGCAAAGGGGACUUGGUCGAUGUAAGGGAAGGAUUUGAGUUGGGGAGGCAAACCUGGCUUAUCUGGGUGGGCCCAGGGUCAUUUCCUGAGCCCUUUAGAUUGCAGAUGUGGUGAAGACCUCCCUCUCGAAGCUGGAGGAACCUAAGGAUUGUGGCUGGCAGUUACCUUACAAGGUCACGAAACAGCCUGGCUAGCGGACAUCCUGACUUUAGCCCACCGAGAUUCAUGUCAAACUUCUGACUUUCAGGACUGCAGAAAUGAAUAAAAUUUGUGCAAGAUAGUAAGUAAAACACGUGGGAAGCCAUGGACCUCGUGGCGAUUUUUAUAGCGGCAUCAGGAAACGAGUGUCCAAGACCCCGUAAGCGGCACAGCAAGAGACUGACCCUGGAUUUGGUUAGAUAAGCUCUGCCUAGUUGUCUGUCUGUCCUCUCUGCAGUCCACAGGGGAUGGAGAAGUGCUGUGAGAGAAAGGGACAGGAAGUGGACCACACACUGGGGGAGAGUGCCAACUCCUCUGAGCCCCAUCUCCUUGCCAGUCUCCUGCCAUGGAGGUCAGGAGGCCUGAAAACCUGGCCACGGUGACCCAUUUUGAUUUUGCAAGAGUUUUAGUGGGGAAGGGUAGGAGCUGGCCUUCAGGGGGUUGCUUGGAUUCUAUUUCUAGUUUGUAAGCUAUUUGUAGUAGAGGUAGUGGGGGUGGGGGCAUGUGGGAACCUCCUGUUGGAUGUGUGUGUGUGUGUGUGUGUGUGUGUGAAUGUGUGAAUGUGUGUGUGAAUGUAUGUGUGUGUGAAUGUGUGAAUGUGUGAGUGUGUGUGUGUGAAUGUAUGUGUGUGUGUGAAUGUGAAUGUGUGUGUGUGAAUGUAUGUGUGUGUAUGUGGGUGUGAAUGUAUGUGUGUGUGAACGUGAAUGUGUGUGUGAAUGUGUGAAUGUAUGUGUGUGAACAUGAAUGUGUGUGUGAAUGCAUGUGUGUGUAUGUGUGUGUGAAUGUGUGAAUGUUUGUGUGUGUGUGUGUGAGUGUGUGUGUUUGCUCCCCUGUGUGAACACGAGUGUGGGUACCUAGCUUGUCCUCCGGGUGUGUGUCUGUUCACAUUCCCUCAUGAGUAGACACGUCUCAGCAUCUGCUACAGCCCACCUCUGGGUGUGAACGGGCGAGUGUCCGCUGAUAUCCCCCCCCCCGUAUGGGAAUGUGUGCCACCAUUGUGCACGUGGGUGUAGAACAUGUGUUUGAAUGUGUGGAGGAGAUACAAGUGUGCCUUUACACCCCUAAGUGGAGGUGAGGGUGGGGGUGCCUCCACUCACGCCUCUGCUCGUGAGCGAGUAUCUGGGUGAGUGUACGUUUCUCUUUGUGUGCAUGUGUGCAUUUGUGUGGACCCAGGGCCGUCCCCUCCCCCACGCGGCGGCAUUGCCUCACCCCGUGACACAGCCGCUAAUGACUAUUUGCUAUUGUCUGUGCAUGGUGGCAUCACCUGCUCUAAUGACAGUCUCCCUGCCUAAUGACUUGGCUCCUGCCCCAUUAUUUGUCAGCCAUAGGGCCACUGGCCUGGUGGCUAGAGAGAUGUUGACUAGCUCCAUACAUUUCCUGCUGGGUGUCUGUGGGGGUGGGGGCAGCACCGAUUCCACCCCCUCCCACAGCCCUCAGGGUGCUCGCGUGGGCCAGGAUUUCAGCUGGCAGGUAGCAUUCCUAGGCAGAAAGCCCCAGGUGUGGGCUCUGCCUUCUUUCUGGGCAGGGCUGGGUGUCUGCUGCUGAGCUGAUGAUAAUUCUUUCUCCGCUGCCCCUCCCGACAAGGUGCCCUGGACCUCAGCAGGCAACCUGAUCUCCUUCCGUCACCAGACAGUGCCUGCCAACACAAGCAGAGAUGUCCUUUCUGAGAAGGCUUCUCUGAGCCCAGAUGCUCUGGUCUGGGACAACCUCUGAGGAGCAAGGGGGGUGUGGAACUGCCUGGGAGUUCUUGAGACCCUGGGCAAGUUCCCUUGUAAGAAGGCGGCCAGCCCUUCUCCUUGUAUCUCAGUUAUAACUGAAAUGAUGUUAAAGUGGCCUCUGGAUCCUGAAGGAGGAAGCAGAAGGUUUCUUGUUCUUGCUUGCUGCCCCUUCAGUGAACGUAUAGCCUCUUGUUUGUAUUCUCAUGGCUUGGAAGUGGUUUUAUCUUCAUUACCCUUCUUACAGGUUUGCUUCCCCGACUUGGCGUUUGCUCAGAUGGCAGGGGAGCCCAGGACCAUGCCUCGCUCAUAGAGAUUCGCUAAACGUUUCCCCAGUCUGGGAGAUGCACACCCGGCUGUAGAUGUGGGUCCUGAACUGAGUGCCAAACUCAUCUUACAUCUUCACAGUCUCCCUAGGUCUUGACCCAGCGUAAAGGGCUUCUGGUGCUCUAGUGACUGGGAGGAGGGAGACGGUGUGCUGAGAGGCUGUCACAGAGGGACAGUAAGGGUGACUUUCUCUCUGCACCCUCAGCUUAUGAGACCUUAUAAGUAAGGAAGGGAGGAAGGAGCUGAUGUGACGUGCAGGCUCUCUCACCUGUUGAGUUGGUGUCCCUGUCCUGGUGGAAGCACUUACUCCCUUGAGCUGGUGGGAGCACUUACUCCCUUGAGCUGAUGGGAACACUUACUCCUUUAAGCUGGUGGGAACACUUAACUCUCUUGAGCUGAACCUUGCUCCCAUUACCUGCAACAGGAUUCCUCAAAUGUUUGUUGGUGACUCACUGGAGGGUCAUGAGGAUGGAGAGCUCAUGUAUCACAAAGCACAGUUUCAUGACAAUACGUAUGUGCCGGCCUCUACGUAAAGUAUAUUCUGUACUGUGGGCUGACAAGAAAUAACCCGUGACAGAUAAUCUGCCAUUUGAGGGAAGGACUAGGGACAGUGGGGACUUCCCUCCAGAGUCUCUGGGAAGCCAGAACUCUAUAGUCUGUCCUGGUGUGGCACCUCCAGCAGAGGCUCACCCCUUCUUACCCCAAUUCUCAGAACCCCUUCUCUCCACAUUUCCCCAGAGAAGGUCUGGUUUGGCAUCCAGUAGUAACUAGAAUGUGGUUGCUAGGCAGGCAGAGAAUAAAGGAAGGCCUUCCAGGCACACCUGUCCCAUGAGCCAUUGCUCUGUCUCCUGCAAUCCUGAGCCCUUAGCCAACCUAGCUCAUGGCUGGGGCAAGGGCAUCAGAAAAUGCUUUUCAUAAAAGCAGAUAAUGGGCUCAAUGGUAGGAGUGCCAGCACUCAGGAGGUUCCAGCAGCCCUCACCUCCAGCCUGGGGUCGCUAUACUCAUGGCCAUGCGUCGGUGCACAGGAAGUGAUAAGCAAGUCUGUUUUGAGAGCUGACAGCUGCCACAAGCCCUUUCUACAGCAUCCCCUGGAUGAGAUGGAUCCACCCAGCGGUAACUAAGGAUGCUCCUUCAGUACAAAGGACAGUGCCCGAGGGCCGGCUGCUGACCCCAUCUCUAUGCCUAGCAACAGCCACCAUUUUGUUUUUUUCUUUUUCUUUUUCUUUUUUUUUUUUUCGGAGCUGAGGACCGAACCCAGAGCCUUGCACUUGCUAGGCAAGCGCUCUACCACUGAGCUAAAUCCCCAACCCCAACAGCCGCCAUUUUAACCUCUAUUUUGUGUCCCUUUAGCACCUGGCUUCUCAUCCUAGGAACCAAGAGCUUGUCAGUUCUUCCGAUGUCACGUGACCUUCCGAUGUCACGUACUAAAGGAUGAAAUGCCUUGGAGAGGCCUGUGCAGGCUGAGGAAGGAAGGAAGGAUGAAGUAUGGUGACAGGCCUCUCUUUGCCUUCCAGGCAUGCAGACAAAGGCUCUGAGCAUACACCCACACGGGAACACAUGGGCAGGGAGUGGUGGCUCACACCUAUGUUCCGGGACUCCCGAGCUGAGGCAGGAGGAUUGUGAGUUCCAGGUCAGCUUGGGUUAUCUAGUAAGACCCUGUCUCAAAAGUGGAACAAAACGAGAAGGGGAAGAACAGAGUAGAACAAAACCAUCAGGCAAACAAGAUGGUGGGAAUGAUCUGUCCAUUCCUGGGAUCACAGCACUAGACAGGCUGAGGCAGGAGCCAGCAUAGGCUGCAUACAGGGGCAGAGGCUGGUAUGGUCUCAGUCUGAAUACAAAACAGGAACGAAUGAAUGGAAGCUGUGAAACCUCCUUCCCCCGCCCAACAAAAGGCACAUAAACCCAUAGAGAAACUCAGCACCCAUCGGGCAUCCUCUGAGGCUGAGCCCUUGACAAGCACUGGGAGACAGUGGACUCAUGGGAAGGGCGAAGCUGAAGUUGCCCAGGCCUGUGGGCAACAGCUCUCAGACACACAGGGAAGACACACAUCGACCGGCAUUUAGUUCUUUUUCCAUCCUUGUUGGUUUGUUUGAGGCAGAGGCUCACUAUGUAGCCCAGGCUGGCCUUGAACUCUUGAUCUUUCUGUCCUAGCCCUCUGGGUGCUGUGAUCAUGAGCUAUACCCCUAGCCUGGGCUCUUUUUCUUUUCCUGACUUUUGUAAAACUAUCCCAGAGAAAAAUCAAGCCUGUUGAACUUUGCAAAACGUGGACCAGCAGCUUGGCUGGAUGGGGAGGAGGUCUCCUACUUCACUCACCCUUGGUGUCCGCCAUAUUUGAUCCCUGCCUGCUCUUGUCUGAACAGUAACACUAGGGACAUGGCAGAGGGGUCCAAAGACAAUGAGGUGUGGAGACUUAAACCAACAAAUAUGUACUUAUUAUUGUCAACCCAAUGUGGCCACGCCAGUGGGCAAAGGUUCUGCUUCCUGUUUUCUGUCUCCUCGAAACCUUCACCUUUUCUGAGCCUCUGGGCCUGAGGGAAGGUCUUGGCCACAGUGCACUGUGGGAAGAACCAGCCUGCUUCUCCUCUGGGCCCCAGAGGCCAUAGGCUUCCUGAGUGUUUAAUGCUGAAAUUCCUCUCUUAAGCUUUGACUGUGGCCUUGGUCUGGCCCUGCCCAGCUAAGCCUUGGGUCUGAACCUCUGGACACAGAGGUGUGUGCCCAGCCCAUGCCUGGCACUCUGUCCCUGACAGUCAGGGUGAACAGGUUUGGCUGCUUGAGUUGACUGUAUGGCCUUUGCUUUCAAUGAGAUAAAUGAAGUCGGAACUUUUGGUGGCAGCCGAUGAAAACGUUUUGAACCCUGUUUGUGGAGUCCUUUGUCACUUGUGGAGAAGUCAGGACCUGAAGGUCCUUACUUAUAAGUGCUAUGUGUGUGUUUCCUGUAAGCAGACAUUCUCCUACUUAGUUACGGCACAGCCAUUAGAUCCAGGAAUUUAAUAUCAAUGUGUUACUGCCACCUCAUUGCCAGACCUCAUUCAAGUUUUACCAGUCAGCCCAACAGGGCCCUGUACACAGCGAGAGGAACUGGAUACAGUCAUGUGUUGCUGUCCCUUCUCUUUUGCCUUUCCUCUUCUCCCUUCCCCACCCCUCUCCUCUCCCCUUAUCUCCUCUUUUCCCCUUCUCUUCCCUCUGUACCCCUCCUGUGUCCUCACCUCUCUUCUCCUGUCCUCUCCACUCUCCUCCCCUCCCCUUUCCUCUCUCAUUCCCUCCCCUCUCCUCCCUUCCCCUUCCUCACCCCCCCCCCACUUCUACUUCCUCUCUUCCUCUCCCCACCUUUCUGCUGGGGACCAGACUCGAGGAGGGGGUGCUUGUCUAUAUAAACCCUUUAUUCUCCCUAACCUCCAUCCUUCCUCCCUUCCUCUCUUUCCUCUGCCUUCCUUGCUUUCUUUUUUGUAUGUUGGGGAUUGAACCAAGGGCCUUGUGCAUACUAGACAAAUGCUCGCCCACUAACCUGCCACUUCUAGCUCACAGUUACCGGGUCUUGUUAGAAACUUUUUAACCUGGGAAAGUUUCUCCCUCUUGGCACUGGUGAGUUUGACACUUCCCUGAGGAUAGUGGAAGCCUCCCAGUCUGGUUUCGUCUGAUAUUUCCUCCUGAUCAGAUUCCACUCGUGGGUUUGGGGUAGAGUCAUAGAGUCAGCGCCACAGUCUUCCUGCGGUGGCCUGGCAGGCAGUAAGUGACUUCAGUUUGUUCCAUUACUGGAGAUGUUAACCUUUGUCCCUUGGUUAAGACGGUGUCUGCAUGGUAAAGUUUUUUCCUCUAUGUAAUUAGAAAAUGUGGGGAGAGACUCUGUGUCUAUGUAAACAUCCCAGUCCUCAUCAAACUUUCUCCCAUCUCAGCAUCAUUGACAGUUCUCGGCUUAAUGAAUAUGAUGGUAGUAUCCAAGUCCAUUAUUCCCGCGACGUUCAUGUCCUCUCAGCACUGGGAGUGGGGUGGCUUCAGGCUGUCUUUGGUACCGUUCGACGUACCUCUUCCACCCUUUAAGUAUUUCCUAACUCUGGAACAAGGUGUUUCUGCACCAGUCCUGGAAAGAGCCAUUUCUCCACAGAGUGGGUAGUGUGUUUAUUUAGAUGAUAUUUUCAUUUGCUUUCUGUUGCCCUGAGAAACGGCAUGGCCAAAAGCUACCUGGGGAGGAAAGGGUUUAUUUCGCUUUAUUUCCACAUCAUAGUGCACCAGGAAGAGAAGUCAGGGCAGGAACCUGGAGGAAGGAACUGAAGCAGAGGACACAGAGUAACACUGCCUAUAGGUUUGCUUUUCAUGGCUAGCUCAGCCUGCUUUCUUAUACAACCCAGGCCCAGCAAGGGGGCAGCACUGGCCACAAUGGGUUUGGCCCUCUUACAGCAAUCAUAAUCAAGAAAAUGUCCAGAGGCUGGAGAGAUGGCUCAGCAGUUAAGAGCACAGACUGCUCUUCCGGAGGUCCUGAGUUCAAAUCCCAGCAACCACAUGGUGGCUCAUAAUCAUCUGUAAUGGGGUCCGAUGCCCUCUUCUGGUGUGUCUGAAGACAGCAACAGUGUACUCACAUAAAGUAAGUAAAAAAAUCUUUAAAAAAAUUAAAAAAUAAUUAAAAGAAGAAAAUGUCCCACAGCCUCGCCAUUCUGAGGGAGGGAGCCUCUAAGCUGAGACUCUGUCUUCCCAGAUAAGCACUGUUUGUGUCAAGGUAGCAAAAUGUAACCAGCACAUGUGCCAAGAUGCAGACACUGGCGGUGCUCAUUGCCUUUGAGGAUUUGCUGUUGGAUCCUUGAUUCAGGAAAAAGGAUACUGCUUCAAGCUUUACUAGUUCAAAGAAGUGGUCUUAAAAUGUGUUCAGUUGAAAAGCAGCAUGGGACUAAUGGGGGUUUUAAGGGAAGAUGAAUCAUGGUUAUCUACUAGUGUUCCCGGGGGACUGGUUCCAGAAGUUCCCCUCCCCCAUCCCAGACACGGAAAUCCAGGAUGUUCAUGGUUUACAAAGAAUGUUGGUCAAUGAAUUGUUACUUUCUUGAUGUCGCAAAUAUUUUGCUCAGGGCAAUGGCUUCUAGUUGUCUGGGACUUAAGGGUAUGAGGUCCUGCAGAGUGAAGAUUUUAGACCCAGGUCGGGGUGAAGCUUCCGAAGUUCAUUGCUGGGACUGUGAGGGCAGGAAGGCAAGAGGGAGGUGCGCACACACUGGGUGGACUCACUGAGGAUACUAAGUUGUAUUUUUCAUGUAGUGUUUACUUAAGACAACAAAAACAUCCAGUGCUUGUGAGGUGCCAAUCCAACCCUGUACCAAUUGUUCUCUUCUAAUCCUUGACAUAAUCUUGCAAAGUAGGUGCUUUCUUGACAUUGCAGAUAAAGAGUCUGAGCCUCCCACUGAAUUCGCCAGGAGCACGGAUCGGGACUCAAGUUUGACCCCACAUUUGUUUUGUGUCUAUUUUGGUGACCAGUCUCUCCAAAGUGGAAAUAUUUUUUUUUUUUUGGUUCUUUUUUUCCGGAGCUGGGGACCGAACCUAGGGCCUUGCGCUUCCUAGGCAAGCGCUCUACCACUGAGCUAAAUCCCCAACCCCGGAAAUAUUUUUAUGGUAUAAUUCUAUCCUCAUAACCCUGAUUCUAAGUGCAGGCAUAUUAUAGCCAAUGAGGAACUGUCUCAUUAACUUAUUGUCAUAUCAAUAUAUCAUACCAAUCAUAUCAUCAUUGUACUAUUGUAUACUAAAUGUUCUCUCUCUUCGUGUGUGUGUGUGUGUGUGUGUGUGUGUGUAAAAUGAUGGCUAUUUUCAUAAACAUUGUUUAACUGAAUUUUUUCCUCAAGGGUUACCUUAAUUUGACGGCCAGAUUCAAAACACAGUGGCUUACAAAAUAGGCAGCAUCUUCUUUAACAUAAAAAACCUAGCAUGUAUUUGAACUUAUAUGAUUUAUUGAAGGGCCAUCCAAAGGGCUUGUUGUGUACCAGAGACGAUGGCGGCACUAGAAGCUGUUCUGUGAUGUGGAAACUCUAAGGCCUUAAGAUAUCUGUGUUAUAUUUUUAUUGCUCAGUCAGAAAGCCAGAACCAGGGCACCUCAGUUACACAAACCCACAUUUCAGGGGCUGGGCAAAGCUGAGGGGAGAGUUGAGGGGAGCAAUGCUUAAACUAAGGGUUGGUUCACUCAGCUCAGGGAAAUGGGUGUGAGGUGGAUAGGUCCACGGGCUGGCUGAUGUCUGCGACAGUUCCUAAGUUCAUCUUAGCUCUAAAUAUAUAGUCACUACUUUAAAAAGGAAGGGCACAUUGAAUCACAUUUUUUUCUUUGUUCAACACAGGGUUUCAUUUUGUAGCACAGGCUGACAUGGAUCUUUCAAUUCUCCUGCCUCAGGCUCACCAGUGCUGGGGGUACAGGAGUGAGCGGCCAGCAGGCUUUCAUGCUGGAAGCUACUGGAGCUUGGAUGCUAAUUCACACCUCUGUGUUCUGUGGCCUUCACCGAGGCUGGCCAAUAGGGGGCGCGAGAGGGAGCCCAGUUGCUUGCUCUCUGUGGGCUUCCUGGCCACUAGCGUGCUGUGUGCCUUGCUUGGUCUGACAUCCAAUUGGCAGUCUUCCAGCACCCAAAGAGAGUCACCCUGAGAGCGUCUGCCUGCUCAGACCUACCAUGACCCCUGGGCUUCAGCUUCUCCCACAGGUCACAGUUAGACACCCUCUGACCUCUCUGUUGCCUGAACUUCGCUGUGGCUGCUUCGCCUACUAGUUCUGCCGUAGUCUCCCUCUGUCCUUCCAUGGCCAUAGCCAGUAGUCCUUUAUCUAGUUAAUUCUUUACACUGACAUCUCUGGUCCUUUAAGGGGAGCAGUCGUUGUCCCUCAGGAGAGACUCAUGGGAGGCCCUGAGCUGUUGAGGCCCUUGGGACCACAGGAUUCAUUUUUAUCAGUUGAUUGAGACACAAUCUCAUUGUAUAGCCCAGGCUUACCUGGAAGGCUUGAUUCUCACCCUCCCGUCUUCAGAGUAAUAGGAUCACAAGCACGUGCCUUUCAUGCCAGCAACGUGCCAGCGGACCUGUUCCUUGUUGGCUGUGGCUUGUUCCAGGGCUUUCUAGAUUGUUCUAGCUGGGUCGAAAUAAUAUCCAGCUGUCCUGAGAAAUUCCAACCAGGAUGUUUUGGGAGCUACACAUCCCAUAAAGUCAAGGGUAUGUGCUAAAGGGAGUUCAUUUCGAAUAGUCUCUUGAUAAAUGCACACAAGUAUUUUGAUUCGAUACAUUAAACGGCCAGCCUUUUUCAUUAGUGAGCAUUUAGUAAGGGUCAGGUGCUGCUGCGAUAGACAGUAGGGCGUGGGGGAGGAGGUAUUAGUCUUUACCUGGGGAGUCUGCUGUCUAACUGGGAAAGACACAAAAUACGGCAGACGGAGUAAGCACAGGCUCUUACUGACGUUCCCUUCUGAAUUCUGCAAACUUGGCAGUGACAUUUACUUAUUUAAUUCACACACACAAAAAAUUCUACAUCAGUUGGUUGUUUUGAAAGUGGGGCCUGGUUUUACAGGAUCUACCUACAGAACAGCAUACGUGAAGAGGAUUGUGUGAGUUUCAUAUUUGCUUAUGUACAGUUUUGUCCAUAUGACUCUGGAAGCUGCACCUAAUACUAUCCAGCCAGAUAGGAACCGUAAAAACGCACGCUUUGAACAUCUGCCAGCGGCUUCCACUCACUACCCACAUUCUGUGUGCGUCGGUAUUAAAGCCUUCUGUUGUUGGGUCUCAGGUCACUGUCCUGCCACUGCUGGGGAACACCUCACAAGUCUUAGCGAGUUUUACCACAUCCACUGCUACAAAAACUUGAACUUUGUUUUUUUCAACGAAAAGACCCCGCACUAGCGAUUUCUUAAUCAUUUAGUAAAGAAGCUGCCAUUUUUGCUUGGCUCCCGUCUUUUUUUUGGCUGUAACCGAUGAAGUUUUUGAAGAUUCAUGUUCCGACCUUACUUUUUCCUCUCUAAGCCCAGCGGUUUAGCAAUUGCCUGGGUUUGUGGAGCUUGGUGCUUUUUAGGAACACAUCUGUGUUUUUAUAGCAGCACAGCUGUUAUUUUAUGGCUGUACCGACCGAACACGGCAGCAGUGUUCUCAGCUGUCAGCAUGUGCAAUGGACAAAGAAAACAACAAAGGAGAUGAUUGCAGAAUGCUUGGAAAGGAGAAAGUAGGACAAGUCGAGACUUAGGCCUGAGAAUGCUGACUCCGGAGGCAUCUGUGGGAGAGGACUGAGAGAACUCUAGCUAGGGCCCUGGGCCUCCUAUUCUCUUGCUGAGUAACGUGGUGUAGAUGUAUAAAGCAGACCUGCACCAGGCCAGGCAAAGAAGAAUGGCUGCCGCAAAGACUGACAACUUACAGAGCUCAAAUUGGGUGAAGAGAAGUUUCAAGUCCUUAUUAAAUAGCCAGGGCAGAGACCCUUGAACGGUUGUGCUUUAACAGGAGGCCCAGGGUCACCUAGAAGACAGACUCACCUGAAUGUACCCAACGGAGCUCGGAGAUGGUAGUUGGAGGCUUUUAGCAAAGCUAUAUAUAGCUGGAGAGACCCAGGUGGUUGCACAGCUGGAGAGACCCAGGUGGUUGCACAGCUGGAGAGACUCAGGUGGCUGCACAGCUGGAGAGACCCAGAUGGCUGCCCAGCUGGAGAGACCAGGUGGUUUGGACUAGGCAGAAGAAUACACACAGGUCACUAGAACAGAUUAGAAUCUAGACACAGUCAUGGUCAACUGAUACUCUGUAAGCUCACAAGGCAAUCCUAUAGAGCAGGAACAGCCUUUCAAAAAAUGAACUGGAUAUUCAGAUUUAAAAAGUAAUUUAAUACAUUUUACACAAAUUGCACAAUUGUAGAUCACAAUUGCCCAAUAAAUUGCCCAAUUAAAGAAAAAAAAACCCACUAAAACUAUAAAACUUCCAGAACAGAAUGAGAAAACAACUUUGUAAUUUGAGGUAGGGAGAAAUUUCUUAGAUAAAACACAAAGACAUGGGGCAUAAAAAAAAUUGGAUGAAUUGGACUUGAAACCCUUUGGUUUUUGAAAGGUGCCAUCAGAAAAUUGAAAGACAGGGGACACCGAUCCGUGGUAGGACAGUUGAGUAGCCUGCCCAAGGCUCUGGGUUUGACUGAGUAAAAAUAUUUCACAAUUUAUAUAUCUGACUGAGGGCCUAACUGCAAAAUAUACACAGGAUACACUUCAAUAAGAAGACAAAUAGUUCAAUUUAAAGAGGGGAUGGGCUAUUUAUUAUAUGCAUCCUAGGGUAAGACAUAAGUGGCCAGUAAGCACGUGAAAUAGAUUUGUUGAUAAUUACUUGGAAAUCAAAUUACAACUGUCCUCGCUGUGACUGUACUAGGAGUGCUGAUAAUAUCAAGCGUCUACUAAACUGCUCAUAUCUUGCAGGGUGAUGGUAAAUGAUAUGGCUACUUUUUUUUAAUCUGGGACUGACCUUGAACUUGCCAUGAAGCUUGGCUGACCUUUAUUUUGGACUUCUUCUGUCUCAGCCUCCAAGACGCACACUGCCUUGCCAGUUUUUUUUUCCUUUGUUGUUGUUGAACAUUGUAAUCCAGAAAUUCUACCUUUAGAUACUUAUCCAGGAGAAAUGAACACUCUAGGGAUACAUUUUUUUUUUGCAACAUCUUUCUAGUAACGGUUCAACCUCUCCUCUAGCCCACCACCCAGCAGAGGUAUUGGGAGAGAGAAGUUAUUAGGAUAUCGGGGACAUGGACCUGUUCAGCAAUAGUUCUUUGGGGGGUGAGCUCAGUCUUUUUUUGUCAGCAGUUCAGUCCCACAGCAAACAUCAAAUACGAACCAGCAGCUGUCGCUCAAUCCUGAAGAAACUGCAAGGCUCGUCAACCGUCCUGAGGUGGGGCUGCGGAAGUGGCUAAGUUGCGGCAGGAAUGUCAUGGGGGAUUCUCUGCCGAGUUUCUCUUGAUGGCAGCAUUACCACAAGUGGAGCCCAACAAUGCCAAGUGAGGCAAACCAAUACAUGCGUGCUGUUAGUGAAGAGUAGUGAGGCAGAGCAAACCAAACCAGUGCUCCAUCUCCCACUGUCCGUGGGAUCGGAUUUAUACCCCUUCAUUGCGUGUUCCUUCACAUGUUUGCUAUAGCAAGACACCCUUUCACCUGUGCACCCCAGCAAAACAUCAUUUGACAUAGCUGACUUUCCAAACAAAUCAGAAGUUUCUAUUUCAGAACAUCGAUGCAUAGAAAAGCUCACACGGGGGCUGGAGAGAUGGCUCAGUGGUUAAGAGCACUGACUGCUCUUCCAGAGGUCCUGAGUUCAAAUCCCAGCAACCACAUGGUGGCUCACAACCAUCUGUAAUGAGAUCCCAUGCCCUCUUCUGGUGUGUCUGAACAGCUACAGUGUACUUACAUAUAAUAAAUAUUUAAAAAAAAAGUUCACACAAA